This 25-nucleotide non-coding RNA is filed under the name Mus musculus (house mouse). The record is from RNAcentral. Lineage: Eukaryota; Metazoa; Chordata; Mammalia; Rodentia; Muridae.
UACUCUCUUCCUGUGUCCUCCCUGC